This 398-nucleotide ribosomal RNA is filed under the name uncultured bacterium. Its description in RNAcentral is "partial 16S ribosomal RNA". It matches the Rfam family "Bacterial small subunit ribosomal RNA", at positions 338 to 733 of the family's 1533-position model. The record is from RNAcentral.
CCUACGGGUGGCAGCAGUGAGGAAUAUUGGUCAAUGGGCGUAAGCCUGAACCAGCCAAGUCGCGUGCAGGAUGAAGGUCCUAUGGGUCGUAAACCGCUUUUAUAAGGGAAUAAAAUGCGGGACGUGUCCCUUUUUGUGUGUGCCUUAUGAAUAAAGAUCGGCUAACUCCGUGCAAGCAGCCGCGGUGAUACGGAGGAUCCGAGCGUUAUCCGGAUUUAUUGGGUUUAAAGGGGGCGUAGGCGGCCUUUUAAGUCAGCGGUGAAAGUCUGUGGCUCAACCAUAGAAUUGCCGUUGAAACUGGGGGGCUUGAGUACGUUUGAGGCAGGCGGAAUGCGUGGUGUAGCGGUGAAAUGCUUAGAUAUCACGAAGAACCCCGAUCGCGAAGGCAGCCGGCCAGG